Molecule: long non-coding RNA, 634 nt
Organism: Oncorhynchus gorbuscha (pink salmon)
Lineage: Eukaryota; Metazoa; Chordata; Actinopteri; Salmoniformes; Salmonidae
Exons: 2
Source: RefSeq, a predicted model, not a curated record
UAUUGUGUCAUUGGCUUGUUUAUUAUUUACUCCAUGUGUAACUCUGUGUCGUUGUCUGUGUCACACUGCUUUGCUUUAUCUUGGUCAGGUUGCAGUUCUAAGUGAGAACUUGUUCUCAACUAGCUCACCUGGUGAUUCUCACCUGGUUGGCAUGGCAACACGACAAGGUAUGCAACAUUAAACCCAAUCAAAUAUCCAAUGUUACUAAAACAAUUAUCCCGGUUUACAGUCAAGCAAUUACCUGGCAGUUGUGUUAAUGUUAUGAACUACAAACGAUCUAUGGUUCUUGGAGUCAAUGAAUCAAUUGAAAGUGACUACAAUUAGAAAUGUUUCAACUGUGUAAAGAUGCUCUGUUUACAUUUGUUCCAGACACUUCAAUCUGACACUAUUGUUAAUGUUUGACAAAACGUCUUCAGCGUAGGACAGAGAGCCGCUGGCUGGCAUUUGACUGCAGUGUCUGUAGGUGUACCAGGAAAGGACAUUAGACGUUAGGUCCCCAUGAUAUCGAAGCUUCUUACCGUCUCCACUGCAGCCCAGUCGAUAUCGAUUUAAAACAACUGGAAGAAUAGAUUGUGCUACACGUUGUACAACUCCAGGUUUCCUAUUGUCCCAAUAAAUGGCAAUUCUACAUUUC